RNAcentral lists this ribosomal RNA (187 nucleotides) under uncultured bacterium. Its description in RNAcentral is "partial 16S ribosomal RNA". It matches the Rfam family "Bacterial small subunit ribosomal RNA", at positions 340 to 526 of the family's 1533-position model. The record is from RNAcentral.
UACGGGAGGCAGCAGUAGGGAAUAUUGGUCAAUGGAGGCAACUCUGAACCAGCCAUGCCGCGUGAAGGAUGAAGGCGUUCUGCGUCGUAAACUUCUUUUAUAUACCAAGAAAAGUCCAUGUGUGGAUCUAUGACGGUAGUAUAUGAAUAAGCACCGGCUAACUCCGUGCCAGCAGCCGCGGUAAUAC